RNAcentral lists this ribosomal RNA (500 nucleotides) under Puntius sp. MTZ11. RNAcentral describes it as "partial large subunit ribosomal RNA". It matches the Rfam family "Bacterial large subunit ribosomal RNA", at positions 1797 to 2487 of the family's 2925-position model. The record is from RNAcentral. Lineage: Eukaryota; Metazoa; Chordata; Actinopteri; Cypriniformes; Cyprinidae.
CGCCCUUGUUUUACAAAAACAUCGCCUCCUGCAAUAUAAAUAAGUAUAGGAGGUCCAGCCUGCCCAGUGACCACAAGUUUAACGGCCGCGGUAUUUUGACCGUGCAAAGGUAGCGCAAUCACUUGUCUUUUAAAUAAAGACCCGUAUGAAUGGUUAAACGAGGGCUUAACUGUUUCCCAUUUCCAGUCAGUGAAAUUGAUCUACCCGUGCAGAAGCGGGUAUAAAUAUACAAGACGAGAAGACCCUUGGGAGCUUAAGGUACAAAACUCAACCACGUCAAUCAACUCAAUAAAAAGCAACUUUUUACUAAACCUUAUGACAAAUGAGACUAUACCUUCGGUUGGGGCGACCAAGGAGGAAAAGAAAGCCUCCAAGUGGACUGGGUCAACACCCUAAAACUAAGAGAGACAUCUCUAAGCCACAGAACAUCUGACCAUAAAUGAUCCGGUCAAUUAAGACCGAUCAACGAACCAAGUUACCCUAGGGAUAACAGCGCAAUC